AAAGUUUUUUUGGUGCAAAUUUUGAGCUAUUGUGAAUGAAUUUCAGGAAAAGAUGGUGAAUUUUUAUGAUUUAUUUAUUGAAUUUUAGAAUGUGUGAGUUUCUUAUGUUAAAUUUUACCUUUUUUGGGUUUUAGAUAUAGAAUUAGUAAUUUGAGAAGAUAUGCAUAGUGUUAGUUUUGAAAGUUUUGAUGAAUUCAGUUAAAAUUGAAUGAUUCUUUAAAUUUAAUGGGGAUUCUAAUAGUUGAUGGGAACAUUGUAACUGCGCUAUUGUUUAAGACUUAAGGGGAGGAACUUGUAAUCAACUUUAAUUGUACAUGGCUUUCUUAUCUAUUCAAGAAGCUCACAAUGUGGGAUUUGUUUUAGACAAGUAAAACUAUGAAUAUUAAUUUGCUUCCACUUUACAUGCAGAACUUUCUGUUUUGAUUAAAAUGUCUUUUUUUUUUUUUUUUUUCAAAUUUUGAAAAACUGUCUUCCAUUUUCUUCCCUUUCGUAUGUGGGAUUGCACAAUUUGGCACAAAGUUUUGAUCUUCAAUUUAGGAAGUUCGUCUUUGCAUAACUGAUUUGGAGAUAGAUUUAACUUCCAACAAUUUUGGUGGGCUCAGUGUAUCUUCGCCGUUUCCUACUUCUUAGCUCUAGAUGGAAAAUGGUUACUAAGGAAAGAAAUUUAGAAACUUCCACCAUUAUGUGACAUAGAGAGAAGAUGGAAAAGUCUGCCAGCAAUAGAUUAUCAAAAUUUUGAAUAGGCGAAAUCAGCUAGCAGCUAAUACUUUUUAAGGGCAGUGUUCUUUAUUGGAAUUUAGUGAGCUUUUUACCCUUUAAUCUUUUAUGAUAAUAAUUUUUUUCCUAGCUUCUUGCACCUCCUUGAUUUUUGUUAAAGUAUGCUUCACACCAUAAUUUCUUGUUAUUGUCAAAGCAUCUUGAAGGUGAAGGACAUUAAUAAAGUAGCCCUUUACAUGGGUGGCGGUUAUUGAAAAGAUUCUUAAUAUGGACAAUUUGAGGAAGAGAAGUAUUUGUAUUGCAGAAUGGUGUUCUAGAUGCAAAAACAGUGGGGAAAUCUAUGGAUCACUUUCUUCUCCUUUGUGCUUAUGUAUAAAGUUUAUGGUCCUUGGUGUUUUGUUUGUUCGGCAUCACGUGGUGGUGCCUAAGCGAGUGGUGGACUUGCUGGCAUGUUGGAAGGGGUUUUUGGUGGUCAUAAUUCUGCAGAAGUGCAGAUAUAUGGGGUGCUAUCCCACUAUGUAUUAUGUUGACUAUUGUGCAGGGAACUAAGGCCAUAUGCUAUAUCUAGUAGACGUGCUGUACCUGCUCAUAUUGAGCUUCCUGACUGGGCAGCUGAUGGUAUCCCAAAAACUGAGCCCAAUAGUGAUCUGCAGCAUGUUGUUGAGGAAAAUAUUCUCAAAGUGCAAGAAGAUCAUUGUCAAGAUCCUAAUGCAAUUCCCCUUAUACAAGAGGAGAUCUUAAACUUGGUUUUAAGAAAAAGUCCGGUAUUGUAAAAGGACUUGGCCUGAGACCUUCCUCUUCUCUAGUAACCACCGCCUCAUCUAAUUCCUCGGUGGAUUAUAUCUAACGGCUAGAAAAUGAGAUAAUUGAGCUCAAAGAGGCAAGAGUUAGGGAUCAAGAGGAGCGAGCUAGGGACCAAGAGGCACGAGCUAAGUAAGAAGAGGUCCAAAAGAAUUUUCUUAACUUUUUGAGGAGUAAGGGUUAUGAUGAAGCUCUUACCAAUAGGGGUGGUUCAACUUCAAGUUAAAACACUUAUUGUAUGUGUUGCAAACAAUUAUUGUAUAGAAGAAGUUUGAAUUGCAUACUUG
Molecule: long non-coding RNA, 1805 nt
Organism: Quercus lobata
Lineage: Eukaryota; Viridiplantae; Streptophyta; Magnoliopsida; Fagales; Fagaceae
Exons: 4
Source: RefSeq, a predicted model, not a curated record